UACGGGGGGGCAAGCGUUGUUCGGAAUUACUGGGCGUAAAGGGUUCGUAGGUGGCUCGCUAAGUCAGACGUGAAAUCCCUCAGCUUAACUGGGGAACUGCGUCUGAGACUGGCAAGCUUGAGUGCAGGAGAGGAACGCGGAAUUCCAGGUGUAGCGGUGAAAUGCGUAGAUAUCUGGAGGAACACCGGUGGCGAAGGCGGCGUUCUGGACUGCAACUGACACUGAUGAACGAAAGCCAGGGGAGCAAACGGG
Molecule: ribosomal RNA, 252 nt
Filed under: uncultured bacterium
Lineage: Bacteria
Description: partial 16S ribosomal RNA
Rfam family: Bacterial small subunit ribosomal RNA
Source: RNAcentral